Molecule: ribosomal RNA, 478 nt
Filed under: uncultured bacterium
Lineage: Bacteria
Description: bacterial LSU rRNA
Rfam family: Bacterial large subunit ribosomal RNA
Source: RNAcentral
ACCGUCGGAGGUAGAGCACUGAAAGGGCUAGGGGGAGCAAUCCUACCAAACCCUAUCAAACUCCGAAUUCCGAUGAGUGCAACCCGGCAGUGAGACGGCGGGUGAUAAGAUUCGUCGUCAAGAGGGAAAGAGCCCAGACUGCCAGCUAAGGCCCCCAAGUGAGUGCUAAGUGGUCAAGGAAGUGGGAAGUCUCAGACAACCAGGAGGUUGGCUUAGAAGCAGCCACCCUUUAAAGAAAGCGUAACAGCUCACUGGUCGAGAUUUCCUGCGCCGUAAAUAUAACGGGGCUCAAGCACUCCGCCGAAGCUGCGGACUUCCUUCGGGAAGUGGUAGGGGAGCGUUCCAGUUGCAGUGAAGCAGUACUGUAAGGUGCUGUGGAGCGACUGGGAAGUGAGAAUGCUGACGUGAGUAGCGAUAAAACGGGUGAAAAAACCCGUUCGCCGGAAGCCCAAGGGUUCCUGUCCAAGGAUCAUCCGGG